Molecule: non-coding RNA, 400 nt
Organism: Cinara cedri
Lineage: Eukaryota; Metazoa; Arthropoda; Insecta; Hemiptera; Aphididae
Source: the annotation of a GenBank genome assembly
UCAAUGAUCAUGUAUCAGCGAUUAAAAAUAAAGCUUUAUCUGUAUUUGGUAUGAUAAAAAGAAACUGCUCCGAUUUUCGUGAUCCACUUGCUCUCAAAUGCCUUUAUACCUCACUAGUCCGUUCUUUNACUUAGAUUCUUUAAAUGCACGGAGACACUUAUCAUACAGUACGUUCCUCACCAAAUUACUAAAUAAUGAGAUUGAUGAUUCAUUUAUAUUAAGUCAAUUAAAUUUCAAAGUUAAUAGCCACCACACUCGUAACAAUCAUUUAUUUUAUAUUCCUCAUUCAUCUAAAAAGUUUACGUCACAUGACCCCAUAAAUAUUUUAAUGUCUUCGGGAAAUAGUUAAUUAUUUUAUUAAACAUUGAAUGUAUUUUUAUUAUUAUUACUAUUAUUUGAU